CAAUAUCUUGUCUGAGAAGGCCAAUGUGCCAUAACCUUUAAUCAUGUUAAAACUUUCAACAACGGAUCUCUUGGCUCUCGCAUCGAUGAAGAACGCAGCGAAAUGCGAUAAGUAAUGUGAAUUGCAGAAUUCAGUGAAUCAUCGAAUCUUUGAACGCACAUUGCGCCCUUUGGUAUUCCUUAGGGCAUGCCUGUUCGAGCGUCACCAACAACUAUUUCACAUACAAUGUGGUAUUGGCUUAUGUGUUGUAGCACUUGGCUGUGCUUAUCUCACUUGGCUGAAAUGGAUAGGCCAGAUGAAGUAUACCAUUAGCACAGACUCUUAGAGUAUUCCGUGAUACUAAUCUAGUCUGUAGUGGGU
RNAcentral lists this small RNA (360 nucleotides) under Tuber sp. 11 KA-2010. RNAcentral describes it as "eukaryotic LSU rRNA". The stretch from base 51 to 204 matches the Rfam family "5.8S ribosomal RNA". The record is from RNAcentral. Lineage: Eukaryota; Fungi; Ascomycota; Pezizomycetes; Pezizales; Tuberaceae.